GAUGAACGCUGGCGGCGUGCCUAAUACAUGCAAGUCGAACGAACUAAUUUAUUAGCGAGUGGCGAACGGGUGAGUAAUACAUAAGUAACCUGCCCUAGACAGGGGGAUAACUACUGGAAACGGUAGCUAAAACCGCAUAGGUAUGGGAAUCGCAUGAUUGCCAUAUUAAAAGUGCUAAGGCACUGGUAGAGGAUGGAGUUAUGGCGCAUUAGCUAGUUGGAGAGGUAACGGCUCCCCAAGCCGACGAUCGGUAGCCGGACUGAGAGGUUGAACGGCCACAUUGGGACUGAGACACGGCCCAGACUCCUACGGGAGGCAGCAGUGGGGAAUAUUGCACAAUGGGCGCAAGCCUGAUGCAGCGACGCCGCGUGAGGGAAGACGGUCUUCGGAUUGUAAACCUCUGUCUUCGGUGACGAAACAAGACGGUAGCCGAGGAGGAAGCCACGGCUAACUACGUGCCAGCCGCCGCUGUAACAC
Molecule: ribosomal RNA, 477 nt
Filed under: uncultured bacterium
Lineage: Bacteria
Description: bacterial SSU rRNA
Rfam family: Bacterial small subunit ribosomal RNA
Source: RNAcentral